Molecule: transfer RNA, 82 nt
Filed under: Limimaricola hongkongensis DSM 17492
Lineage: Bacteria; Pseudomonadati; Pseudomonadota; Alphaproteobacteria; Rhodobacterales; Paracoccaceae
Description: Loktanella hongkongensis DSM 17492 tRNA
Rfam family: tRNA
About the family: Transfer RNA (tRNA) molecules are approximately 80 nucleotides in length. Their secondary structure includes four short double-helical elements and three loops (D, anti-codon, and T loops). Further hydrogen bonds mediate the characteristic L-shaped molecular structure. tRNAs have two regions of fundamental functional importance: the anti-codon, which is responsible for specific mRNA codon recognition, and the 3' end, to which the tRNAs corresponding amino acid is attached (by aminoacyl-tRNA synthetases). tRNAs cope with the degeneracy of the genetic code in two manners: having more than one tRNA (with a specific anti-codon) for a particular amino acid; and 'wobble' base-pairing, i.e. permitting non-standard base-pairing at the 3rd anti-codon position.
Source: Rfam by way of RNAcentral
GCCCGCGUGGUGGAAUGGUAGACACACGAGACUUAAAAUCUCCUGCCCUCAGGGCGUGCCGGUUCGAAUCCGGCCGCGGGUA